This is a non-coding RNA of Gossypium hirsutum (cotton), 138 nucleotides long. The record is from Rfam. NCBI's taxonomy places the organism in Eukaryota, Viridiplantae, Streptophyta, Magnoliopsida, Malvales, Malvaceae.
AGGCAGCCUACUUGCCUUAAAUCGCCAUGGCAAUGCGGGUGUUAAACUGCUCGUAUAAUAAACAUUGCUUUUGCUCUUCAGUCUUGCUGAGAUUUAUUUAUUGUUCAUUGAAGCUGGACUAGUAAGCCUAAGCACAUU